RNAcentral lists this transfer RNA (59 nucleotides) under Loxodonta africana (African savanna elephant). It matches the Rfam family "tRNA". From Rfam's summary of the family: Transfer RNA (tRNA) molecules are approximately 80 nucleotides in length. Their secondary structure includes four short double-helical elements and three loops (D, anti-codon, and T loops). The record is from Rfam by way of RNAcentral. Lineage: Eukaryota; Metazoa; Chordata; Mammalia; Proboscidea; Elephantidae.
AGUGGUUAAGCGCUUGGCUGUUAGCCAAAAGGUCGGUGGUUCAAACCCACUAGCCACUC